UUCGCAAUGCCCGAAAGGGUGACGAAGCGACGCCGCGUGUGGGAAGAAGGCCUUCGGGUUGUAAACCGCUGUUGGGAGUUAGGAAGUGUGGGAGUGUUAAUAGCGCUUCCACUUGACUAAAGCUCCAGAGGAAGCCACGGCUAACUCUGUGCCAGCAGCCGCGGUAAUACAGAGGCGGCAAGCGUUGUUCGGAAUUAUUGGGCGUAAAGAGCACGUAGGCGGCUAUGUAAGUCGGUUGUGAAAGCCUUCCGCUCAACGGAAGAACAGCAUCCGAUACUACAUGGCUUGAGUGCGGGAGGGGAGAGUGGAACUUCUGGUGGAGCGGUGAAAUGCGUAGAUAUCAGAAGGAACGCCGGCGGCGAAAGCGGCUCUCUGGCCCAUAACUGACGCUGAGUGUGCGAAAGCUAGGGGAGCAAACGGGAUUAGAUACCCCGGUAGUCCUAGCCGUAAACGAUGGGCACUAAGUAGAGGGGUUUU
This 477-nucleotide ribosomal RNA is filed under the name uncultured bacterium. RNAcentral's name for it is "bacterial SSU rRNA". It matches the Rfam family "Bacterial small subunit ribosomal RNA", at positions 365 to 832 of the family's 1533-position model. The record is from RNAcentral.